This 74-nucleotide transfer RNA is filed under the name Bos taurus (domestic cattle). It matches the Rfam family "tRNA". Rfam says of the family: Transfer RNA (tRNA) molecules are approximately 80 nucleotides in length. Their secondary structure includes four short double-helical elements and three loops (D, anti-codon, and T loops). Lineage: Eukaryota; Metazoa; Chordata; Mammalia; Artiodactyla; Bovidae. RNAcentral also lists the same sequence under 2 other names. The record is from Rfam by way of RNAcentral.
UCCCUGUUGGCUCAGAUGGUAUAAAGAAUCUGCAUGCAAUGCAGGAGACCCAGGUUUUUUCCCUGGAUUGGGAA